GAUGAACGCUGGCGGCGUGCCUAAUACACGCAAGUCGAGCGAACAGACGAGGAGCUUGCUCCUCUGACGUUAGCGGCGGACGGGUGAGUAACACGUGGAUAACCUACCUAUAAGACUGGGAUAACUUCGGGAAACCGGAGCUAAUACCGGAUAAUAUAUUGAACCGCAUGGUUCAAUAGUGAAAGACGGUUUUGCUGUCACUUAUAGAUGGAUCCGCGCCGCAUUAGCUAGUUGGUAAGGUAACGGCUUACCAAGGCAACGAUGCGUAGCCGACAUGAGAGGGUGAUCGGCCACACUGGAACUGAGACACGGUCCAGACUCCUACGGGAGGCAGCAGUAGGGAAUCUUCCGCAAUGGGCGAAAGCCUGACGGAGCAACGCCGCGUGAGUGAUGAAGGUCUUCGGAUCGUAAAACUCUGUUAUUAGGGAAGAACAAAUGUGUAAGUAACUAUGCACGUCUUGACGGUACCUAAUCAGAAAGCCACGGCUAACUACGUG
RNAcentral lists this ribosomal RNA (497 nucleotides) under uncultured bacterium. RNAcentral's name for it is "partial 16S ribosomal RNA". It matches the Rfam family "Bacterial small subunit ribosomal RNA", at positions 28 to 507 of the family's 1533-position model. The record is from RNAcentral.